GACGAACGCUGGCGGCGUGCCUAAUACAUGCAAGUUGAGCGAUGAAGCUUGGUGCUUGCCCCAAUUUGAAGAGCAGCGAACGGGUGAGUAACACGUGGGGAAUCUGCCUUUGAGCGGGGGACAACAUUUGGAAACGAAUGCUAAUACCGCAUAAUAACUUUAAACAUAAGUUUUAAGUUUGAAAGAUGCAAUUGCAUCACUCAAAGAUGAUCCCGCGUUGUAUUAGCUAGUUGGUGAGGUAAAGGCUCACCAAGGCGAUGAUACAUAGCCGACCUGAGAGGGUGAUCGGCCACAUUGGGACUGAGACACGGCCCAAACUCCUACGGGAGGCAGCAGUAGGGAAGCUUCGGCAAGGGACGAAAGUCUGACCGAGCAACGCCGCGUGAGUGAAGAAGGUUUUCGGAUCGUAAAACUCUGUUGGUAGAGAAGAACGUUGGUGAGAGUGGAAAGCUCAUCAAGUGACGGUAACUACACAGAAAGGGACGGCUAACUACGUG
Molecule: ribosomal RNA, 497 nt
Filed under: uncultured bacterium
Lineage: Bacteria
Description: partial 16S ribosomal RNA
Rfam family: Bacterial small subunit ribosomal RNA
Source: RNAcentral